RNAcentral lists this ribosomal RNA (394 nucleotides) under uncultured bacterium. Its description in RNAcentral is "bacterial SSU rRNA". It matches the Rfam family "Bacterial small subunit ribosomal RNA", at positions 29 to 429 of the family's 1533-position model. The record is from RNAcentral.
AUUGAACGCUGGCGGCAUGCCUUACACAUGCAAGUCGAGCGGCAGCGCGGGGGCAACCCUGGCGGCGAGCGGCGAACGGGUGAGUAAUACAUCGGAACGUGUCCAGUAGCGGGGGAUAACCUGUCGAAAGAUAGGCUAAUACCGCAUACGACCUACGGGUGAAAGCGGGGACCGCAAGGCCUCGCACUAUUGGAGCGGCCGAUGUCGGAUUAGCUAGUUGGCGGGGUAACGGCCCACCAAGGCGACGAUCCGUAGCUGGUCUGAGAGGACGACCAGCCACACUGGAACUGAGACACGGUCCAGACUCCUACGGGAGGCAGCAGUGGGGAAUUUUGGACAAUGGGCGCAAGCCUGAUCCAGCCAUGCCGCGUGAGUGAAGAAGGCCUGGUGUAAG